CAUUUAUUAUCCUAGCUUACCCCGCAACCCAUCUGCUCAUUCGAUCAUCAAAAUCCAGUGAAAGAACCCUUGCUACAGCUCAUGGCGAACGCCAACCAAGGUCCAGAUUCGGUGGCCCUGCUUGUAGUCCCGUGCCUGGAUUGCGGCAGGUUAGUGAUGACGUUCGUGUCAGUUCGCUGGCGAGCGGUUCUACAACUACAAGUGUCACAAUCACAAACCGGGGAGAGGUGGAUGUGAUUUCUACAUGUGGCAGGAAGCCUACGCGGAACACCUGGCUAUGCUUGGACGGCGGCACCUCCGGUAGCGCAAAUCAAUCAAGGUCAGCAGGAAAUCGCAGCACCAAAUCAAGGUUGUCAGAUGCAGGCGGCGGAUGCAUGGUGGGGUGGGGGCGUGGGGCAGCAGAACGGUGCACCGGAAGCCUCGCAUUUGGCAUCGGCGGCAAGCGAAGCUGCAGGAUCUUCCCUCGCUGUGGCGGCUGUUGCUCAGCAUCAGGCAACCAUCGCCCUCGACCCUGCAUCCAUCAAUUUGGUGGUGUCUGUUGGCAAGUAGCAGCACACAUAGAUAACACUUUGAUGGCCAAUUCUGGAAGAUAUCAUAAAAAAGAAGAUGAAAAAUUAAUAGGAAAUAAGAGACGAAAAUCAAUCUGAUCACCAAUAGUAGAACAUGUCAUCAGCAGCACACACAAAUAACAUGAGAUCUUAAUUACCCAGUAAUGCACGGAGGUUAGUUUUAAGCAACACAUAGCCACAUAAGUCAAAGGUUUUGGACAGAUACAAGAGGAAAUAUUGUCACAAUUUCUAAGUUGACAAUACAUAAUUUAUUUCACACAGCUGGAUACUGAGCACUCAUCAUACAAGGGAAAAACAGUGGAAAUUCAGUGAUAAACCAGAUUAAUCCAAGUCAAAGGUUUUAGACAUAUACAAGAGGAAACAUUGUCACAAUUCCUAAGCUGACAAUACAUAAUUUAUUUCACACCACUAGGUUGUGAGCAAUCAUCAUACAAGGGAAAAACGGUGGAAGUUCAGUGAUACACCAGAUUAAUCACAUUUCCACAGGUCGUUCAUGUGUAGCUUUCUGAGGAACAUGUAAACAAUCUUUGGAUUGUUGCAGACUUGCAGGUGUUCUUGCGAUGCCCUCCCACUCCGCAUAUUGAGCAUUUGGCUUUUUUUCCUUUUCUUUUGAGGGAGCUCACCCCGCUGUGGACAUGUUGUGCUCUUGUGCCCUGG
Triticum aestivum (bread wheat) is the source of this 1226-nucleotide long non-coding RNA. RefSeq lists it as uncharacterized. The record is from RefSeq and is a predicted model, not a curated record. Lineage: Eukaryota; Viridiplantae; Streptophyta; Magnoliopsida; Poales; Poaceae. The transcript has 2 exons.